CAGACUCCUACGGGAGGCAGCAGUGGGGAAUAUUGCACAAUGGGCGCAAGCCUGAUGCAGCCAUGCCGCGUGUGUGAAGAAGGCCUUCGGGUUGUAAAGCACUUUCAGCGGGGAGGAAGGCGAUAAGGUUAAUAACCUUGUCGAUUGACGUUACCCGCAGAAGAAGCACCGGCUAACUCCGUGCCAGCAGCCGCGGUAAUACGGAGGGUGCAAGCGUUAAUCGGAAUUACUGGGCGUAAAGCGCACGCAGGCGGUCUGUCAA
This 262-nucleotide ribosomal RNA is filed under the name Klebsiella pneumoniae. Its description in RNAcentral is "partial 16S ribosomal RNA". It matches the Rfam family "Bacterial small subunit ribosomal RNA", at positions 332 to 586 of the family's 1533-position model. Lineage: Bacteria; Pseudomonadati; Pseudomonadota; Gammaproteobacteria; Enterobacterales; Enterobacteriaceae. The record is from RNAcentral.